GGGGGUAUAGCUCAGUGGUAGAGCACAUACUUAGCAUGCAUGAGGUCCUGGGCCCAAUCCCUGGUACCACCA
This 72-nucleotide transfer RNA is filed under the name Camelus bactrianus (Bactrian camel). It matches the Rfam family "tRNA". Rfam says of the family: Transfer RNA (tRNA) molecules are approximately 80 nucleotides in length. RNAcentral also lists the same sequence under 1 other name. The record is from Rfam by way of RNAcentral. Lineage: Eukaryota; Metazoa; Chordata; Mammalia; Artiodactyla; Camelidae.